UCUCAAACGAGAAUAAUCAGCUGCACAGUGAUAUCACCCUAGGAGACACGAGAGGGGAGUGGCUCUUCGGGCUUCAGCUCCUGUGUGCACACGAGCACACAAGGAAGGCGACCACGCCUUCUUUUUUCAUAUGGAUUAGACUCUUCUUCUUCUUAUUCUUCUUCCAUUUUUCCUCUACUUUUUGAUAAAAACGAGAUGAUGAUGAUGAUGAGAGGGGCCCCCGCACAUACCGCG
Caenorhabditis elegans is the source of this 234-nucleotide non-coding RNA. Lineage: Eukaryota; Metazoa; Nematoda; Chromadorea; Rhabditida; Rhabditidae. The record is from Ensembl.